UACGGGGGGGGCAAGCGUUGUUCGGAAUUACUGGGCGUAAAGGGCUCGUAGGCGGUCAACUAAGUCGGACGUGAAAUCCCUCGGCUUAACCGGGGGACUGCGUCCGAUACUGGAUGGCUUGAGAUUGGGAGAGGGAUGCGGAAUUCCAGGUGUAGCGGUGAAAUGCGUAGAUAUCUGGAGGAACACCGGUGGCGAAGGCGGCGUCCUGGACCGACACUGACGCUGAGGAGCGAAAGCCGGGGGAGCAAACAGG
Molecule: ribosomal RNA, 253 nt
Filed under: uncultured bacterium
Lineage: Bacteria
Description: partial 16S ribosomal RNA
Rfam family: Bacterial small subunit ribosomal RNA
Source: RNAcentral